CGGCGGACGGGUGAGUAACACGUGGAUAACCUACCUAUAAGACUGGGAUAACUUCGGGAAACCGGAGCUAAUACCGGAUAAUAUUUUUAACCGCAUGGUUCAAAAGUGAAAGACGGUCUUGCUGUCACUUAUAGAUGGAUCCGCGCUGCAUUAGCUAGUUGGUAAGGUAACGGCUUACCAAGGCAACGAUGCAUAGCCGACCUGAGAGGGUGAUCGGCCACACUGGAACUGAGACACGGUCCAG
This 244-nucleotide ribosomal RNA is filed under the name uncultured Staphylococcus sp. Its description in RNAcentral is "partial 16S ribosomal RNA". It matches the Rfam family "Bacterial small subunit ribosomal RNA", at positions 96 to 334 of the family's 1533-position model. Lineage: Bacteria; Bacillati; Bacillota; Bacilli; Caryophanales; Staphylococcaceae. The record is from RNAcentral.